ACAUUAAAACAGAGAGAACCCCAAUAUCAUGCCGACUGAAACUACCCUAUUUGGGAAUUUACAUAAUCUCUAUCUUCUGAUUUCUAUUAAUAGGACAGUCAGAAAUCAACCCAACAACCAACACUUAGUUUUGGUUUGGUGAUGUAGAACUUCAGUAUGGGAAACUUCAUUUUGGUUUUUAGCCUGCUCUGUUGGGGCCUAGCACAGGAGCUUGGUCCAAAACAAGGGCCCCUAUAAUUUUUACUGAACAGUUUAGAAUCUAGAACAAUGCCUUGCACUCACAUUUAGUGAGUAAAUAUUGAAUAGAUGAAUACAUCAGUGAAGCAUAACUUUGGGUAACAUUAUCAGAUAUUAAUUAAAGCAUCACACCAUAUGACACUAAUUUUGAGCAUAAUCAAGGAGGGAAAGGUAGCAAAACUGAGCACUUGGACAGUCUAAUAGUUGGAUAUGAAACAGAGAAGAAGGAGACUUCCAAAAAGUCUGCUAAAGGGUGUU
RNAcentral lists this long non-coding RNA (495 nucleotides) under Homo sapiens (human). RNAcentral's name for it is "long non-coding RNA NONHSAT159519". Lineage: Eukaryota; Metazoa; Chordata; Mammalia; Primates; Hominidae. The record is from RNAcentral.